RNAcentral lists this ribosomal RNA (433 nucleotides) under uncultured bacterium. RNAcentral's name for it is "partial 16S ribosomal RNA". It matches the Rfam family "Bacterial small subunit ribosomal RNA", at positions 29 to 507 of the family's 1533-position model. The record is from RNAcentral.
AACGAACGCUGGCGGCAUGCCUAACACAUGCAAGUCGAACGAAGGCUUCGGCCUUAGUGGCGCACGGGUGCGUAACGCGUGGGAAUCUGCCCUUAGGUUCGGAAUAACAGUUAGAAAUGACUGCUAAUACCGGAUGAUGACGUAAGUCCAAAGAUUUAUCGCCUGAGGAUGAGCCCGCGUAGGAUUAGCUAGUUGGUGUGGUAAAGGCGCACCAAGGCGACGAUCCUUAGCUGGUCUGAGAGGGUGAUCAGCCACACUGGGACUGAGACACGGCCCAGACUCCUACGGGAGGCAGCAGUGGGGAAUAUUGGACAAUGGGCGCAAGCCUGAUCCAGCAAUACCGCGUGAAUGAUGAAGAGCUUAGGGUUGUAAAGCUCUUUUACCCGUGAUGAUAAUGACAGUGGCGGGAGAAUAAGCCCCGGCUAACUCCGUG